GCCCGGGUGGCUUAGCUGGACAUAGCGCCGCACUCAUAGGGUUUCCUGAGAUUCGGUGCGGAUUCGCCUUGGAAGCCUCCGCCGCCCUACGGGGCCCGCCGAGCCUCGGACCUGGGAAAUGCGGAGAUCGUGGGUUCGGAGCCCACCCCGGGCA
This 154-nucleotide transfer RNA is filed under the name Haloquadratum walsbyi J07HQW2. Its description in RNAcentral is "tRNA-Met". The record is from RNAcentral. Lineage: Archaea; Methanobacteriati; Methanobacteriota; Halobacteria; Halobacteriales; Haloferacaceae.